GACGAACGCUGGCGGCGUGCUUAACACAUGCAAGUCGAGCGGUAAGGCCCUUUCGGGGGUACACGAGCGGCGAACGGGUGAGUAACACGUGGGUGACCUGCCCUUAGCUCUGGGAUAAGCCUGGGAAACUGGGUCUAAUACCGGAUAUGACUCCAUAACGCAUGUUGUGGGGUGGAAAGCCUUGUGCGGCUAGGGAUGGGCCCGCGGCCUAUCAGCUUGUUGGUGGGUNAUGGCCACCAAGGCGACGACGGGUAGCCGCCUGAGAGGCGACCGGCCACACUGGGACUGAGACACGGCCCAGACUCCUACGGGAGGCAGCAGUGGGAAUCUUGCGCAAUGGGCGAAAGCCUGACGCAGCGACGCCGCGUGGGG
This 372-nucleotide ribosomal RNA is filed under the name uncultured bacterium. Its description in RNAcentral is "bacterial SSU rRNA". It matches the Rfam family "Bacterial small subunit ribosomal RNA", at positions 28 to 406 of the family's 1533-position model. The record is from RNAcentral.